RNAcentral lists this ribosomal RNA (773 nucleotides) under Mycoblastus caesius. Its description in RNAcentral is "SSU rRNA". It matches the Rfam family "Bacterial small subunit ribosomal RNA", at positions 398 to 1209 of the family's 1533-position model. Lineage: Eukaryota; Fungi; Ascomycota; Lecanoromycetes; Lecanorales; Mycoblastaceae. The record is from RNAcentral.
CACUUGGAGGAUGUAUAGCAAUAGCUAUUUGCAUCCAUUAAGGAUGCAAAAUCGAUAACAACGAAUAAAGUUCUAGAUAAGAUUAUGAUAAUGACAUUACUUAUCUAUGUGUCUUGACCAAAUUAUGUGCCAGCAGUCGCGGUAAAACAUAAAAGACUAGCGUUAUUCAUCUUUAAAAGGUUUAAAGGGUAUCUAGACGGUAAAUAAAGCCUAAAUAAGGGACUAAUUUACUAGAGUUACAUGUGAAGGGGCUCCAAAGUACUGAUGGUGUAGAGAUGAAAUUCCGAAAUACCUUUUUUAUUCAGAAAAUCAAUGGCACAGGUAUAGGCGAAGGCAUCCCCUUAUUAGAUAACUGACGUUAAAAUACGAAGGCUCUGAGACGCGAACAGGAUUAGAGACCCUAUUAGUCGGAGCAGUAAACGAUGAAUGUCAUAGGUUAGAUAAUUAUUUAUCCUGUAAACGAAAGUGUAAGCAUUCCACCUCGAGAGUAAUAUGGCAACGUUGAAACUGAAUCAUUAGACCGUUUCUGAGACCAGUAGUGAAGUAUGUUGUUUAAUUUGAUAGCCCGCAGAAAACCUUACCACAACUUGAAUAUUUAUAUCUUGCAUAUAAUUACAAGUGUUGCACGGCUGUCUUCAGUUAAUGUCGUGAGACAUCGGUUGGCUCCAUUUAAUUAACGCAAACCCUUGCUUUAUUUUUUUAUAUAAAGUAUUCUACUUUAGAAAAGUUUUGAUAAUAGGGACUAGGGACAAGCCCUCAUGACCUAAAUGUUG